Mastomys coucha (southern multimammate mouse) is the source of this 757-nucleotide long non-coding RNA. RefSeq lists it as uncharacterized. NCBI's taxonomy places the organism in Eukaryota, Metazoa, Chordata, Mammalia, Rodentia, Muridae. The transcript is spliced from 4 exons. The record is from RefSeq and is a predicted model, not a curated record.
AGGCAAGCCCUUUGGGCUCUGUGAUGCUCACCCUCUACAUUAGGAUUUUACUAUGACAUAAGACAGUGUAAACUCAGAUCCACAAGCCAAGGGCCAAUGCUUUCCUAUGCAGCACAAGUGGCUUGUGGAAAACCAUUCUCACAGAGACUGGGAGCAGGAACAGAAAUGCUGGCUGGCAUUUCUAGAACUCAUGCUCAGCUGUGUGGAAAUCACUUGGGGUCAUAUUCGGCGUUCCUGAAGAGGUAGCAAGGUUUUCGUUCUUGCUUGAAGGAGCUCAGGAACCUGGGAUUUGUCUGGGCCUGAUCAACAAGUCACAACCUUUCUCAGAGCCUCAGUUUCCUCCCAGUCAAGUAGAGAGAAGAAGACUCCAUCCAUGGAGGAUGGAAAAGGAGGAUGUCUGUAGCCGACCUUAAACCAUGGAAGGGAGCUGCUUUGGGGGCCGCAGCACCUUCUAAGACAAGCCUAUCCCUAGAAGUCUCUUAGCCUGGGCGAAGGUGGAUGGAAGAAACAUCCAGAAAGUGGCUCAACGAUUGGAACACUUGGUCCCUGACUGGAGGGCAGGAACUUAGAUGACAUGGAGCUGCUUAGCCAUGCGUUGGCCAGCAGAGGCGGGCCUCAAGGUUCAGAGCCUGGCCCUGCUUCCAGCUUCCUGUUUGGGGGUUGACAGGGAAGCGCAGCUGGCUCCUGUGCUUGCUACCAUCCCUGGGAGGCACUCCCACCACCCACCACCAUUGCCUCCCCCACCAUGAUGAACCGC